Molecule: long non-coding RNA, 2028 nt
Organism: Seriola aureovittata
Lineage: Eukaryota; Metazoa; Chordata; Actinopteri; Carangiformes; Carangidae
Exons: 2
Source: RefSeq, a predicted model, not a curated record
UUCAGGGAGACAUGUGACAUCCUUGUGACACUUUGCCCCUGCAAGUUAGCUAGAGAGGGACAAUGGUUACACUUCAUAAUAUCCAAGGGCCCAGGGACAGUUAUGCCGCAUGCACAUCACAUGCCUCUUAGACCGUAGAUCCCUCUAAAACUUUUCAUCAAAUCCAUAAAACAAGAGUUAAACGAGAAUCUCAAUAUCGAUUCAAAAUCCAAAAGUUUAAUCCUUGUAGUCAUAAAAUUGCCUAUGAUAAUUGUUUUGUAUACAGAUGAGUUUAUUAGAUUCUUUGGUCUUUAACACCUUUUCAGUGUAGGGACACUUUUCUCUGAUUCUGACUACUUGCAGAUGCUUUUAAAGUAAACAGAGAGGUCAAAUGUCUGAAUCAAGAUGAUUUAAUGGAUGAUCCAUAAGGAUGCUUGUGAUUACAAAAUCUGUGGUAAUUUCACACCUCAAACUGAUGCCAAGGUUUGCCAGUACUCUGUGUUUACUACGGUUGAAUUAUGUUAAUUUUCAAUCCUGCUAAGUAGAACAACAGUGCCAUCUGCUGCUAAAAUAAUGUUUCUGCACUGGGUAGAAAUAAGGACAUUUUGGAAAUCCUCAGAAAAAAGAAAAACACUGCUCAGAUAAUAGCUCUGCCUCCCUGGCCCUUCGGCUGGAUAUGAAAAGUAUUUUAUGUAAUAAAGGUCACUUCUUCCCAGAAAUGUCAACUUCCUGCUCUUGUGACACAGGUUCUUUCAGCUAUCUGCUCACACCACCUGGAAUGGAGUAGCUUAUCUCAAAACUCAGGAGCUACAUUGAGAGGCCAUCUUGGCAACACCUCAACCAGAACUCCCCAGACCAAUGCUACUACAGAGCCUUCGCUAACCCAAAGUGGCUCACUCCCACCAAUACAUGGACAAGCUGAGGGACGUCGGUAAGUAGUUGCCAUUGGCAAUGGAGGCGGUUCAUCCUGUGAGGCUGGAUCAUUGGGGCUGGAGCGCUGUUCUCUCAGGACUCAUUGCCAAUACUGCUGCCCAUGCCGUGUUUACCAGCAUCCACCUGUGCUUGGACAGAGGUUGAGAGAGGAGGAGAAUCUUGGCUCUGCUCACGGUGCACCCUGUGUGUUUCCACGUAUGUGUGGAAAACUGUGCACUCUGUACCAAAGCAGAUUGGCACAUCUGUUGUGGGCUCCCACUUCGUCAGCAGGUCCAAACAUUGCAGGGGACUUGCAUGUUAACUAGCCAGACUUAGUGGUUGAUGACAUGACCAGUGACCCUUUGUAUUUCAUAUUGGGAUUUUGUAGUGUAAGAUUGUUACAUAACAAUUUGUAAACCAGUGGUCUUAUAGGCUAUCAGUGCCAGACCGGGUGCUCAGGAGGAACAGGGAGAUGAGAGCCCUCAUGUCCACCACUGCUUCACAUGUUGUGCCAUUAAGGACUGUCUGUUCGGCCCAGACAUCCAUACUGCUGUUGUGAUUUGGUGAGGGGAGGCAAGGUUUUAUGUGGGUUGCAGUUCCCCCAUGGCUCUAAAUAACACCCUAUCAAAAACCUUUGCGUACACUCAAAAUUGUGUAACAGCCUGUGGCUUGAUCAGUCAUUCCUGUUAAUUAAUCUAAGCUACGACGGCACAGCAUGGCAGUAUCACUGAAUAAUGUAAUACCACAUACCAUAGCAUCUAUAGCCUGGAUUAUUUACAAUGGUUGUUAUUAUAGGCUAUACAAAAGCAAAAAGACAAGAAAGUAAUUUGAAUACAACCCAAAUUAAUUUGUUGUAAGCAGCAAGUUUAUAUGAUGAUUUGGAAAAUAAAUUACAUUUGAUUUACAAUUCACAUUUUAUGUUUAUUAUAAAAUAUAUCAAGCCUAUACAACUUCUUGCACAAGUUGCAAAGUAUAGUAUUGUACAGUACAGGCAUAACUGAAACAGUGGAGAACAACAUUAAACUUUUAUUUUCCCCCCAAUACUGUAUGAAAACAGUGGGUGAGGAGGGUAUUAACCAUGUGUUUGUUAUUUCAUUUAUUAAUGAAUCUGUUAUUAAAUAUUUCAAAACAAAACAA